Molecule: ribosomal RNA, 253 nt
Filed under: uncultured bacterium
Lineage: Bacteria
Description: partial 16S ribosomal RNA
Rfam family: Bacterial small subunit ribosomal RNA
Source: RNAcentral
GACGAACCGUCCAAACGUUAUUCGGAAUUACUGGGCUUAAAGGGUGCGUAGGCGGUGCUACAAGUCGGGUGUGAAAUCCCUCAGCUUAACUGAGGAACUGCGCCCGAAACUGUAGUGCUGGAGUGAGGCAGGGGUGAGCGGAACUGAUGGUGGAGCGGUGAAAUGUGUUGAUAUCAGCAGGAACACCGGAGGCGAAGGCGGCUCGCUGGACCGGAUCUGACGCUGAGGUGCGAAAGCGUGGGGAGCGAACAGG